This 492-nucleotide ribosomal RNA is filed under the name uncultured bacterium. RNAcentral describes it as "partial 16S ribosomal RNA". It matches the Rfam family "Bacterial small subunit ribosomal RNA", at positions 29 to 507 of the family's 1533-position model. The record is from RNAcentral.
AGUGAACGCUGGCGGUAGGCCUAACACAUGCAAGUCGAACGGCAGCACAGUAAGAGCUUGCUCUUACGGGUGGCGAGUGGCGGACGGGUGAGGAAUACAUCGGAAUCUACUUUUUCGUGGGGGAUAAUGUAGGGAAACUUACGCUAAUACCGCAUUCGACCUACGGGUGAAAGCAGGGGAUCUUCGGACCUUGCGCGAUUGAAUGAGCCGAUGUCGGAUUAGCUAGUUGGCGGGGUAAGGGCCCACCAAGGCGACGAUCCGUAGCUGGUCUGAGAGGAUGAUCAGCCACACUGGAACUGAGACACGGUCCAGACUCCUACGGGAGGCGGCAGUGGGGAAUAUUGGACAAUGGGCGCAAGCCUGAUCCAGCCAUACCGCGUGGGUGAAGAAGGCCUUCGGGUUGUAAAGCCCUUUUGUUGGGAAAGAAAAGCAGCAGGUUAAUACCCCGCUGUUCUGACGGUACCCAAAGAAUAAGCACCGGCUAACUUCGUG